Non-coding RNA from Caenorhabditis elegans, 145 nucleotides. The record is from Ensembl. NCBI's taxonomy places the organism in Eukaryota, Metazoa, Nematoda, Chromadorea, Rhabditida, Rhabditidae.
CACCAAAUUGGUGGGGGCGAAGAGUAUUUGUGUGAGUGUGUGUGCCAAUGGUGGAGCUUUGAAGAAGAGCCUAAAUCCGGAUGGGAAGAAAAAGAAGAAAACGGAAAGGGGUUGCGAAAAAUUAGCGAGCUUUCUUUGUGGGUGG